Molecule: ribosomal RNA, 515 nt
Filed under: uncultured bacterium
Lineage: Bacteria
Description: partial 16S ribosomal RNA
Rfam family: Bacterial small subunit ribosomal RNA
Source: RNAcentral
GAUGAACGCUGGCGGCGUGCCUAAUACAUGCAAGUCGAGCGAAUGGAUUAAGAGCUUGCUCUUAUGAAGUUAGCGGCGGACGGGUGAGUAACACGUGGGUAACCUGCCCAUAAGACUGGGAUAACUCCAGGAAACCGGGGCUAAUACCGGAUAACAUUUUGAACCGCAUGGUUCGAAAUUGAAAGGCGGCUUCGGCUGUCACUUAUGGAUGGACCCGCGUCGCAUUAGCUAGUUGGUGAGGUAACGGCUCACCAAGGCAACGAUGCGUAGCCGACCUGAGAGGUUGAUCGGCCAUACUGGGACUGAGACACGGCCCAGACUCCUACGGGAGGCAGCAGUAGGGAAUCUUCCGCAAUGGACGAAAGUCUGACGGAGCAACGCCGCGUGAGUGAUGAAGGCUUUCGGGUCGUAAAACUCUGUUGUUAGGGAAGAACAAGUGCUAGUUGAAUAAGCUGGCACCUUGACGGUACCUAACCAGAAAGCCACGGCUAACUACGUGCCAGCCGCCGCUGUAA